RNAcentral lists this unclassified non-coding RNA (343 nucleotides) under Hevea brasiliensis (rubber tree). The record is from RNAcentral. Lineage: Eukaryota; Viridiplantae; Streptophyta; Magnoliopsida; Malpighiales; Euphorbiaceae.
GGUAUAGACAGUUGAUUUGCAAUACUUCAAACAAAUAAAAAAGGACAGCACACAAUUAGUUUCAACACAUUAAAUGAAUGAUUAAAAAGGGUGAUAAAUUAAUUGAAAAACCAUAUAUAUAGCUAUCCAUACACAAAAAACCAUGACUUUAGAACAUAAUAUAAAGAAAAAGGAUCUAGUAGUGACCUUUCAACAAGAUUUUAGGCUUAGCACUUACGAUAAUAUAUGCCAAGGCCCACUGUUACUAGAGAAUAAAGUUCUUGACCUUAUAGGUCCAAUUUAUCUUGAUUAUUUAAUGAAAUUCAUCAACAGAAAAUUAAUAUCAGAUACACAUAUGAUGUUA